This 72-nucleotide transfer RNA is filed under the name Ovis aries (sheep). It matches the Rfam family "tRNA". Rfam says of the family: Transfer RNA (tRNA) molecules are approximately 80 nucleotides in length. Their secondary structure includes four short double-helical elements and three loops (D, anti-codon, and T loops). Lineage: Eukaryota; Metazoa; Chordata; Mammalia; Artiodactyla; Bovidae. The record is from Rfam by way of RNAcentral.
UCCCAGAUAGCUCAACUGGUAAAGAAUCUGCCUGCAAUGCAGGAGACCCUGGUUCGAUUCCUGGGUCGAGAA